RNAcentral lists this unclassified non-coding RNA (317 nucleotides) under fungal sp. RNAcentral describes it as "partial internal transcribed spacer region". The stretch from base 1 to 46 matches the Rfam family "Eukaryotic small subunit ribosomal RNA", at positions 1786 to 1831 of the family's 1831-position model. The record is from RNAcentral. Lineage: Eukaryota; Fungi.
AAGUCGUAACAAGGUUUCCGUAGGUGAACCUGCGGAAGGAUCAUUAUCGUGAAUCCACACGUAUUUACUUUUUGUGAAUUGUCUAAUUGUUGUUUGUUUUUUUGUUUGGAUGAGAUGGAUGGUCGAUUUCAUUAUUGAUCAUUCGUUUCAAACAAACACACAAACAAACACAAUACAUUUAAACUAUUAACCACUUGUAACCUUUUAAUUGUACUGAACAAAAUAAACUCGUUUUUUCUCUGUCUUCGGAUACGAACAAGACAAGUUUACGAUACGAAAUUGCUGAACUACUCUUAGCAACGGAUAUCUUGGUUCUC